AAAGCUCGUAGUUGGAUUUCGGGAUGGGCCAGUCGGUCUGCCGUAAGGUAUGUUACUGGCUGGUCUGUCCUUCUUCGCAAAGACUGCGUGUGCCCUUGAUUGUGUGUGCGUAGGAUUUGCGACGUUUACUUUGAAAAAAUUAGAGUGUUCAAAGCAGGCUGACCGCUUGAAUACAUGAGCAUGGAAUAAUGGAAUAGGACUUUGGUUCUAUUUUGUUGGUUUCUUGAACCGAAGUAAUGAUUAAGAGGGACAGUUGGGGGCAUUCGUAUUUCGUUGUCAGAGGUGAAAUUCUUGGAUUUACGAAAGACGAACAACUGCGAAAGCAUUUGCCAAGAAUGUUUUCAUUAAUCAAGAACGAAAGUUAGAGGCUCGAAGACGAUCAGAUACCGUCCUAGUUCUAACCAUAAACGAUGCCGACUAGGGAUCAGCGGGCGUUAUUUUAUGACCCCGUUGGCACCUUAUGGGAAACCAAAGUUUUUGGGUUCCGGGGGAAGUAUGGUUGCAAAGCUGAAACUUAAAGGAA
This 523-nucleotide ribosomal RNA is filed under the name Cyanea lamarckii. Its description in RNAcentral is "SSU rRNA". It matches the Rfam family "Eukaryotic small subunit ribosomal RNA", at positions 623 to 1152 of the family's 1831-position model. The record is from RNAcentral. Lineage: Eukaryota; Metazoa; Cnidaria; Scyphozoa; Semaeostomeae; Cyaneidae.